GACGAACGCUGGCGGCGUGCUUAACACAUGCAAGUCGAACGGAAAGGCCCUGCCUUUGUGGGGUGCUCGAGUGGCGAACGGGUGAGUAACACGUGAGUAACCUGCCCUUGACUUUGGGAUAACUUCAGGAAACUGGGGCUAAUACCGGAUAGGAGCUCCUGCUGCAUGGUGGGGGUUGGAAAGUUUCGGCGGUUGGGGAUGGACUCGCGGCUUAUCAGCUUGUUGGUGGGGUAGUGGCUUACCAAGGCUUUGACGGGUAGCCGGCCUGAGAGGGUGACCGGCCACAUUGGGACUGAGAUACGGCCCAGACUCCUACGGGAGGCAGCAGUGGGGAAUAUUGCACAAUGGGCGGAAGCCUGAUGCAGCAACGCCGCGUGCGGGAUGACGGCCUUCGGGUUGUAAACCGCUUUCGCCUGUGACGAAGCGUGAGUGACGGUAAUGGGUAAAGAGGCACCGGCUAACUACGUG
Molecule: ribosomal RNA, 468 nt
Filed under: uncultured bacterium
Lineage: Bacteria
Description: partial 16S ribosomal RNA
Rfam family: Bacterial small subunit ribosomal RNA
Source: RNAcentral